UCCGAGCUGUUCUUUAGCUCCCUUAUAGAACAUGUUGGCUUCAAGUCUUAUCUGUUGGAUGUUUAAAAGUCCAAAACAUUUGACCGUAGAAGGGAGUAAACAAUUUGGCUUUUCUGAGACUUCUCACAGUUUUAAAAACCUUUUCUGAGACCCAGGGUGGAGAAACGUGUCGCUCUGCCAAGGAGUUUCUAAUCCCUCCUCAGUUUGUCACAAUUACAACAUCAGCAUCGCUCACUAAAAGCUUUUCUCCUGCCAGCAGGAAGUUGAAACUGAAGUUUUACAAAAGGCAGAGCAUCAAGAUGUAAACGCUUUGCUCUGCAGCUGCCAAACAAGACCACAACACGGACCUCCUACGAACAGCACGGCCGACCCGGGACUGCCAGCUGUUCACCCAAACAGGGGCAGAUUUAGACCCUGCACCAACACAAUCAAGGUCAAAUCCAAAAAACUCAUCCAUUAUGUCUGUUCUUUGGGAACUGAAUUUAUUUGCGUUUUAUCCACAUUGAAAUAAAAAUUUUCUUCUUUAGAAAGUUUUGUGUAAUUUUAGGAUUAAUUUUAAAUUUUCUGGGGUUUUCCUCCGGCGUCUAGCCUCUGCAAAGUCCCCCUUAAUUUAAUUUUUUUCCGUUAUUCAUCAAGCUUCAAAUCAGGUUUAUGUCUGUUCAGUUCAGCUCCAUACGAACAACACAGUCAUAAAAAUGUUGACAUUAGUUAAAACAUGUAAAUGUUUUUUGCACCUGUAAAAAGGUGUUUUUUUAAUUUAUUUUGCUUUUGGGUCUAAAGAGAGAAGUGUGGCCACUGCAGCUCUGAUAUCAUUAGCUUUCACUUUAUUCAUAGUUGGUCACAGAAGCUUAUGUGUCCGUUCCCAGCUCUGUCUCUGUUCCAUCUCAGUAAUUAUGGCCACAUUCACACAACUCACACAUUUACAUUGUGUUUGUAAAUGUGAAGUUCACCUUUAUUUCAAUGGAUUUGUGUCUUGUGGCUUCUGUUCUCCUCAUAGUCUGUCUUUACUAUUUAGAAAUGGUUUUAAAUUAAUGUAUUCCUAAAAUUUGACCAUAAAAAUGGACCAGAUUGGCAUUUCAAACAGGCUAUUAGAUGCAUGAUUGCUGGUCAUUGCAUCCUUCACUCCUAACCCUUUCUAGAGGUGAGAUGCAGGGUCACUGAAGUGAUCUCCAUAUUUCAACAAAAAUCCAUCCAUUAAGCCAGUAAAUAUGCCAAACCACAAACAUGUUUAUGAUGAGCUUUUUAUUUAUAAGCUUAUUAAAUGCAGCCAAGUACAUUUAGCAGAAAAAAGUAUAACUACUAUUUCUUCUUUACAAAAAAUGACAAUGUAAAAAUACUAAUAUUGCAUUUCAGUACAAUUGAAGGUUUAUUCCUUCUAAUGUAAAUAACAGUUGUAGCUAUUACAAUCUACAAUAGUUUUGUUAUAUUGAUACAAAAAUCUGUCAAUCGAUGCUUUUUUAAGCAGCACUUUUGCAUUGAGCACAGAUCUGGAGUCAUAGUGGAUUUAUCUAAACAUGAUAAGAAAACAAUCUUAAAAAAGUUAAUUUUACUGAUCUAUACAUUAUUUAUAAAAAAAAAAAAAAGAGUGGAAACAGUUUGUGAAAUGAUGGGACGGACGGCACGAUGAAAGAGCUGUGCAACAUGGCGGCACAGGUUCUUGGAGGAGGAUUUCUGAGUAGGCUAUAAAUAAAAAGGACACGUGUGUGUGUGUGUGUGUGUGUGUGUGUGUGUGCUGCUUCACAGCUGAUAGUGAUUACACACUAAACAUGCAAGAUUAAAGAUGCUCCAUAGCAUAAACAUUUAAGAUCCACAGUUUUUCUAACAUUUACCUGUUAGUUUGCUUCCUCACAGACAAUGACACACACACACACAAGCGCGCACCCACACCCACACACACACACU
This is a non-coding RNA of Oryzias latipes (Japanese medaka), 1902 nucleotides long. The record is from RefSeq and is a predicted model, not a curated record. NCBI's taxonomy places the organism in Eukaryota, Metazoa, Chordata, Actinopteri, Beloniformes, Adrianichthyidae.